RNAcentral lists this ribosomal RNA (380 nucleotides) under uncultured eukaryote. RNAcentral describes it as "partial 18S ribosomal RNA". It matches the Rfam family "Eukaryotic small subunit ribosomal RNA", at positions 592 to 976 of the family's 1831-position model. The record is from RNAcentral.
CAAUAGCGUAUAUUAAAGUUGUUGCAGUUAGAACGCUCGUAGUCGGAUUUCGGGGCGGGCCGACCGGUCUGCCGAUGGGUAUGCACUGGUCGGCGCGUCCUUCCUUCCGGAGACCGUCCCUACUCUUAACUGAGCGGGGGCGGGAGACGGGACUUUUACUUUGAAAAAAUCAGAGUGUUUCAAGCAGGCAGCUCGCUCUUGCAUGGAUUAGCAUGGGGUAAUGAAAUAGGACUUUGGUGCUAUUUUGUUGGUUUCGAACACCGAAGUAAUGAUGAGAAGGGACAGUCAGGGGCACUCGUAUUCCGCCGAGAGAGGUGAAAUUCUCAGACCAGCGGAAGACGAACCACUGCGAAAGCAUUUGCCAGGGAUGUUUUCACUGA